GACGUAGGGGGCAAGCGUUGUCCGGAAUUAUUGGGCGUAAAGGGCACGCAGGCGGUCCGCCACGUUCGAGAUGAAAGUCACCGGCUUAACCGGUGAAGUGCCUUGAAUACGGGUGGGCUUGAGAGCGAGAGAGGAAUCUGGAACUCCGGGUGGAGCGGUGAAAUGCGUAGAGACCCGGAAGAACACCAAAGGCGAAGGCAAGAUUCUGGCUCGUUUCUGACGCUCAGGUGCGAAAGCCAGGGGAG
This 245-nucleotide ribosomal RNA is filed under the name uncultured bacterium. Its description in RNAcentral is "partial 16S ribosomal RNA". It matches the Rfam family "Bacterial small subunit ribosomal RNA", at positions 524 to 768 of the family's 1533-position model. The record is from RNAcentral.